RNAcentral lists this long non-coding RNA (239 nucleotides) under Elaeis guineensis (African oil palm). RNAcentral's name for it is "long non-coding RNA (EGUI_LNC082904)". The record is from RNAcentral. Lineage: Eukaryota; Viridiplantae; Streptophyta; Magnoliopsida; Arecales; Arecaceae.
CAUGAUUUUAUCUUACGACUUCAGAACAUGAGCGAUUCCGGCUUAUAGAAGAUCUAAUUCUAACCUAAACUAAAUCCCUGCACACACCGUACUCUAUUACUAAGAGAACUAUCUUGUUUUUCCAGUUUAGUUCGCUAAAUUUUUCAAAACACCAAAACUUUAGUCCUGAACGGAGGAAAAUGGUGAAGGACAUAUUCCGUCAAAUCUGAAUAAAGUUAUUCUAGGAAAAUGCUACAAUA